This 74-nucleotide transfer RNA is filed under the name Desulfobulbaceae bacterium. Its description in RNAcentral is "tRNA-Pro". The stretch from base 5 to 66 matches the Rfam family "tRNA", at positions 7 to 64 of the family's 71-position model. From Rfam's summary of the family: Transfer RNA (tRNA) molecules are approximately 80 nucleotides in length. Their secondary structure includes four short double-helical elements and three loops (D, anti-codon, and T loops). Lineage: Bacteria; Pseudomonadati; Thermodesulfobacteriota; Desulfobulbia; Desulfobulbales; Desulfobulbaceae. The record is from RNAcentral.
GGGCGUAGCGCAGCCUGGUUAGCGCGCCUGGUUCGGGACCAGGAGGUCGCUGGUUCAAAUCCAGUCNNAGCGCA